RNAcentral lists this ribosomal RNA (343 nucleotides) under Escherichia coli. RNAcentral describes it as "bacterial SSU rRNA". It matches the Rfam family "Bacterial small subunit ribosomal RNA", at positions 1200 to 1533 of the family's 1533-position model. Lineage: Bacteria; Pseudomonadati; Pseudomonadota; Gammaproteobacteria; Enterobacterales; Enterobacteriaceae. The record is from RNAcentral.
CCUUAUGACCUGGGCUACACACGUGCUACAAUGGACGGUACAAAGAGCUGCAAGACCGCGAGGUGGAGCUAAUCUCAUAAAACCGUUCUCAGUUCGGAUUGUAGGCUGCAACUCGCCUACAUGAAGCUGGAAUCGCUAGUAAUCGCGGAUCAGCAUGCCGCGGUGAAUACGUUCCCGGGCCUUGUACACACCGCCCGUCACACCACGAGAGUUUGUAACACCCGAAGUCGGUGGGGUAACCUUUUGGAGCCAGCCGCCUAAGGUGGGACAGAUGAUUGGGGUGAAGUCGUAACAAGGUAGCCGUAUCGGAAGGUGCGGCUGGAUCACCUCCUUUCUAUGGAGA